This 494-nucleotide ribosomal RNA is filed under the name uncultured bacterium. RNAcentral's name for it is "partial 16S ribosomal RNA". It matches the Rfam family "Bacterial small subunit ribosomal RNA", at positions 28 to 507 of the family's 1533-position model. The record is from RNAcentral.
GACGAACGCUGGCGGCGCGCUUAACACAUGCAAGUCGAACGGAAAGGCCUGCUUUCCCUUGUGGAUUGCGGGUACUCGAGUGGCGAACGGGUGAGUAACACGUGAGUGAUCUGCCCCCAACUUGGGUAUAAGCCUGGGAAACUGGGUCUAAUUCCCGAUAGGACUGCAGGGUGGUGCCUGUGGUGGAAAACGAUUUUCUAGUGGUUGGGGAUGAGCUCGCGGCCUAUCAGCUUGUUGGUGGGGUAAUGGCCUACCAAGGCGGCGACGGGUAGCCGGCCUGAGAGGGUGGACGGCCACAUUGAGACUGAGUUACGGCCCAGACUCCUACGGGAGGCAGCAGUGGGGAAUAUUGGACAAUGAGCGGAAGCCUGAUGCAGCGACGCCGCGUGGGAGAUGACGGCCUUCGGGUUGUAAACUCCUUUCGACCGCGAGGAAGCCACCUGGUUGGAAGGGUGGUGACGGUAGUGGUAGAAGAAGCACCGGCUAACUACGUG